Molecule: small RNA, 454 nt
Filed under: Arabidopsis thaliana (thale cress)
Lineage: Eukaryota; Viridiplantae; Streptophyta; Magnoliopsida; Brassicales; Brassicaceae
Description: ATSL089660
Source: RNAcentral
UGAUCAUAGAAGAACAAAACAUGAUUGAAUAAGAAAUCAAUGAAUAAAACAAGAGGAGAAUAAGGUUUAGAAGGAUCUUCUCUACAGGGAGCCUCCACAGGGUUUUGCUCCCAAAGUACAGAAUUGAAAAAGGGAAUAGCCUCCCAAAGCUUAGGGUCUAAACAUUGACCUUAAAGCUAUAUAAAUAUGUCUUAAGAACGUGCUGGGCCUUCAUUAAAUAUAGGAGAAAGUUUUGGGCCGAAUUCAAAAAUCUUCAAAACAACAAUAAGUUGCGUCUUUCAAUUGUCGUCAGGUAUUGGUGUCGCUCGACACCAAGGGUGGUGUCGUUCGACACCUACGUGCAUUUUCGUCUCUGGAUUGCUUCUGCAGCUUAAGUUGUAUGUUUUGCUCCAGAAAGCUCCAUAAUCUUCAAAUGCAUCUCAAAAAUGUAAAGACCUGAAAAAGACUAGAAAAA